RNAcentral lists this unclassified non-coding RNA (253 nucleotides) under uncultured Flavobacteriaceae bacterium. RNAcentral describes it as "contains 16S-23S intergenic spacer region". It matches the Rfam family "Bacterial small subunit ribosomal RNA", at positions 524 to 776 of the family's 1533-position model. Lineage: Bacteria; Pseudomonadati; Bacteroidota; Flavobacteriia; Flavobacteriales; Flavobacteriaceae. The record is from RNAcentral.
UACGGAGGGUGCAAGCGUUAUCCGGAAUCAUUGGGUUUAAAGGGUCCGUAGGCGGGCUGUUAAGUCAGGGGUGAAAGUUCUGCGCUCAACGUGGAAAUUGCCUUUGAUACUGGCGGUCUUGAAUAUGUGUGAAGUAAUUAGAAUAUGUAGUGUAGCGGUGAAAUGCAUAGAUAUUACAUAGAAUACCGAUUGCGAAGGCAGGUUACUAACACAUCAUUGACGCUGAUGGACGAAAGCGUGGGUAGCGAACAGG